GCUUCUCCAUCAUCUCUAUAUCAGUAUCUCCGAAGGGCUAAUAUUGUGGGGCUCAUUGCUUCCUGUUGUUCUCGGAGCUGUUAAAUUGCUAAUACUCACGGAUUCAGAUUCUGUACCUGUUGGAAAAUUGUCAUGCCGUUCCUCAGCACUGUGAAGCCUACCAUCCCCUAGAAAUGAUGGAACUGGAGAGGGUUUGACACCUUCGGGCUUCCAAUCUUCUUGAGGUUUUUGAUGCGCUGAGGAAAGUACUCGUUUCAUCUCUUGGAAAAACGACUCCAGUGGAAGGAGGUCCUUUUUUAUUGCGACAUUAGCUGGCUGACUUGCUACUGCAUUAAAUGAAUCUUCACCAUUGUCAGAAAGUACCUUGCACAUCUGCAAAAGAAAAGAAAAGAAAGCACAAAACAUCUACUUCACAACCCUUGCUGUGAAAAUAUGUUUUGUUCCAUAUUUUCUGGUAAUAUGCAAAUUCUCUUAUUCUAUAAGACAGAGUUAGCAGGCUCAUCUCCGUCAACAUGCUUGCUUGAUGAUGGGGAUAUUUAUGUAAUCUGGACAGGGUUUUAUACGUGGUGAUACCUGGAAUAUCUACUGCCAUUUAUUUUGCUGCCUUUCAGCCUAUUGGCUAGCUUUAUUAGGUAAACUUUUUGCAGGUUUCUUUUUGUCCAUUGAUUUGAUCCUUUACUGCAUUAUUUCACGCUCAAUAUUUAGUUUUGUCAACAACAACAACAUACCCAAUAUAUUCCCGAAAAGUGGGGUUUGGGGAGAGUAAGUGUAUGCAGUCCAUAUCAUUGCCCCAGAGGUGAGAUUGAAAGGCUGUUUCCGAUAGACCCCCGGCUCAAGACAAAGGAAGUCCAGAAAAAAUAGUAACGGGAACAAGAAACAAUAGGUAUUUAAACCACAGCGUAUUUGAAGUUAUAAUAGUGUUCCGAUAAAAUAUAUGUGAACACUAUAUCACAGAGAAAAUAAUACACAUUAAGUAUUGUUUGAUUGAAAGUACACAUAAUUUAUUCAUACAAUGUUUUAAAAUUUUCUAGCCCAUGAGAUCAUUAAAUUAAGUGUACAAAUAUUGCCAAUUUUUUAAAUUGGAUUACUCCACACAUUUCAUUUCCAAGUUUGGUUUCAAAAUUUUAAACUAUUUCAGUCUCACAUUAUCAUUUUCUAAACAUUCAAUCUUUGAUAUUGGUAUGAAUUUGGCUUGCUUUCAAUUUCACUUUCUUGCACUGGUUUUAGCUACAUAACCCUAAUGAAGAGGGGCUAACAUAUGUGCUCGAGAUGUUAUUUUUGUGAACAUAAUGCAGAGAUGAUUAAUGAUCUGUUUCUUCAUUGAAGUGGUUAGCCAGCUUUGGAAUCUGUUUACCAGUUUCAGAGGCAUAAGGUGGACGAUACCGGAAGAACAGGAGAGGCACUAACUAGCUGGAAUUUUGAGGGUGGUCGUAGCACUAACAAAGAAAGACAGAUGGAGAAUUGCCCCAGCAGUAAUAUGGUGCACCAUUUGGAAAGCGAGAAACUCUAGGUUUUUAGAGGGCAACAGAAGUUCUCUUCAAAAGUUAAAGAUGAACUGCAUUAUAAGUUUUUGUUAUUGGUGCAACUCAGAGUAUAUAGAUGGACCAGUUUAUAUAGUAGACAUCCUAGGAUCCUACAAUCCUUGUAAGAUGAGAUAGGAUUUAGUGUUAGUCUAUUGUUUUUACUCUUUUGGAUGUAGAUUCAAUGAUGGAAUUUUCGCUUCCAGCUUUUGUGAUGAUGAUUUAUAUACAGUUGUUACCAUUGUCAAAAAAAUGGAGAGUGAUCAAAGUUACUCUUUCAUCGAUUUUAUUCAAUAUAUUUAUAUUGGGAUUGGGCCCGUGCGCUGCACAGACUACUCUUUACUAUUUAUGCAUAUAAGAUGAAGUCCUGAAAUAUGUUCCGGAACAGAAGAUUCACCUUAUUGUAAAGCUGAGCAACACUCAAACGAUCCGCUUCACCAUCACAAGCAACAUCAGAGAUUCCCUGUGGAGCUGCAUUCAGAAGUGCAUGAUGGGAUGCUAGUCAGUAGCUUCUUGACACACUAGCGAAGCUUCAAGCAGUGAAUAACAAUACUUACAAAUUGCAAUAAGUUUUGGGAAAUUAUCAAUCAUUUCAGUGCCAGCUGCCUCGACAUUUCGACUUGGUUCGUCUACAAUCUUGGUGUCACACUCCAUCUCUUUCCCAGGGUAACCCUGAAGGAAGAAAAUGGAUACAAACAAACCACAUUAAUACAGGUUUAACUGUCCUAAAAAUGAUCAAAUCAACCAAUGCAGCUGCAAAUCUUAGCUAUUAAAACCUAAAUCAUAUGGGAACAAAAUGAGAAACAACAAUCAUAAAGCUUGAAAAUGAGCAAGUCAAAUAACAAAGGCCAAAAGCCAUUCACAACAACUAAUAGAACAGCAAUAUAUUUGGGAUAAGUCAUGAUUUAUCUACCAAACAGGCAGAAGGAAUAAAGACUGGUCUUGACAGUGAUAAAACAAAGACCAAGUAACGCAUGAAAUUCUAUUCAUUUAAGCUUGGUCGAGAAAGGGUGUAGAAUGUAAUAUCUAACACACCAAAAGUUUCUUUCCCCAGAAAACAUCAAAUUUUGCAGGCUCUAACAAUCAUAGAGAAAUUUAGCCUUUUAUAUAGUUGGGGCCAUCACAAGGUCACAUACUCAAUGAUUAAGAACUAGCAGGAACAUGAAGUUGUACAAGGCUAGCCUGCUAACAUGGAAUGACUACAGAAUAUACCUAAAGACUACAGGACCCCAACCAAACCAGGUUCAUAGUUCUGUGGCUCUUAAGGAGCAUACACUAGAUCUACAAGUCUUAGUUUUUCUUCUGAGAUAACUUGACACCAGGAGGAAAAACAAAGAAGGAAAGAAGAUGAAGCCAGGUUUGUUAUUACACUCUUUGGAAACAAAUCCAUGACCGAUGGACUUCCAAGUAUAUUCAAAUGAACUUCAGAUGUUUUUGAAAAUUUAAGACGACUUACAACAACUUCUCUCUGGUACUCAGCAUUAAUUGCAUUCUCGAGAAGCAUCACCCUUUUCCUUAUAAAUUCAACUUGUCUUCUCUGCAUCUCUCUCAAAUGAUAUAACAAAGAAGAAUCUUGAUAAAGUUGGGUUCUGUUUGAAGGAUCGCUUGUGCCAUGUGAGUGUUCAUGGUUAGUCUCAUCAGCAGCCUUCACUUGAUUUCCAGUAGUUCCAGCAUUAGCUGUAUUCACACCAUUUGGUGCUUGAUGGACUCCUGGAGCAGAAACUUGUGCUUGUGAAACCCCUGAAGUGGGAAGCGGCUGAGAAGCUCCAGGAGCAGGAGGAACUUGUGGCUGAGUCGCUCCAGGCACGGGUAAACUUAUAGAAGGAAGAUUCAGCUCUUUACAGACAACUUCUUGGAUUCUCAACUCUUUGUCAUCGAUAAUAGCUUGCCAUCUUCCAUAACCAUGCCUGCACAAAAUACAGAACAAAAACACAGCCAGAAAUUAGCACUUAUGCACAGUAAUUGAACUAAACAUGGGCUACUGCCCUGGAAUUCCACAGUCGAAAUGAUCAAUGAUACAUUCAAAAGGAUAGGCACAACGAAAAAUUGCCGCGACACUUUACACAGACAACUUGCAUUUCAGAGGAAGAAGUAGAGGAUGAUGAUCGAAUGACCACAAACAACUCUGGCAUAACUAGAAGAAUAAACAUAGAUCAUCCCUACAUUAGGUUCCAGUUAUACAAGAUACACUUUAGCAAUCUUUUACUGUAAAGCAACUUCGCAUGUGAGCACAAGUAGAUCAAAGAAAUCCUUUUCACUUAGAGAAGCCAGUAUUUGGAUCAUGUCAAAUGAUAUAAUUUUUUAACUGCAGGAGAAGUCCACGUUAUCAUGUAAGGUGGGCUUCCUCUUAAAAUCAUGGGGAAAAAAUGAGGUUUGGGAAUGGUUUCAUAGACACAAUUUGCAUACUGUAAGGUUUUCAAUAUUGAUUAUUGCAUCUUCAGAAUGCUUUGUUGUCCCACACUCUCACAAUGAGGACUGGGAUAGUCAAUCCUCUGAUUCCCUUCUUCUUUGUUCAGGUAAUGACAAUUUUUUUCUCAAUAUAGAAAAAAGAAGCAUUAUAUGGAUGGUUACAGGCCUACAAGAGAAGAGACUGAAGCCAAGAUGGAAACACAACAUAUGUUUCACAAACUCUUUAUGCAGAGAACAGACUUAACCUGUGAAGCAAAAAAUAAACAAAUGCUGCAUUUAAAAGUGAUCCUUAGCCUUUGAGGCCAUUUCCAAGAGCAACAUAUCCACUGGAAAUGCUGACCAGGGAAUUAAUCAACCGGCUAUGGUAAAGAGAUGCAAAGUAGAGAAAUUUCCUCUCACCUACCUGGAGAUUACAUUUGAGAGCUAAACCAAAGAAAGGAAGAAGAGAAUUGUACGGCUCGGUUGUGUUUGAAGGCAAUUCGGAGAAUGUUGCACCACCCAAGAAUUUCUAAUUUUUCAGUAAGAAAGUUUAUUUAACUUGGCUUACUACAUUUUUGGAAGGAAUUAUAGUUAUGUCAUUAUAUUUAAUGAAUCAUUCGUUUAUUGCUUAUGAUUCAUUAAUGAAAAUAAUCUUAGAACUAAACAUAAUUUGCUUAUUUUUUCCUUACAAUUUGAGUUAGUCAAGUACUCAUUCCUAUCAUUAUGAAAUAAAUAGGUUCAUAUUUCUCUGUCUUUUGUUAGAAUUAAUUUAAUUGAACCAACUUUAUUAAGAGGUUAGCAUGUGCAGUUUGAUUCCCUACUGAGAAGACGCUUCAUGGUAUCAACAAAAGAUCUAUUGACAUUAUUUUCUGAUAAAGACCUUCGUAACUUUUUUUCCUUUUCUUUAAUUUGAUAUUUCAGUUUUAAGUAAUUGUGGUGAUAAUUUGCUACUUUUCUUCCAUUUCUUGAGUUAAAUAACAUGUAUUUCUCAUUUUUAGGUUACAUUUAUUGCCAAUUACUGACCAACCCACAAGCAAACAAGCUCUAUUAAAUUUUAGGAAUCAUGUUUUACUUUUCCUCUUCAUUUGAUUCUCUGGGAUUAAUCUUUAUCCAUCAUUCCAUUCCCAUGGAAUAACGAGCCUAAAUAUCUGAUUGUUUUGCAUUUAGGCACGACCGUUCCGUCUAAUUGACAUCAACUUCAUUCUUCUUAUGCUGAAUAUUCAAUCUAACUUCUACUCAUCCUAAAACCUUUUAUUCACUAGAAUGCUUCUCCAUAGUUCAAGUUUUUGGUUGACAUCCUCAUUGAUUUGAUCAAUUAGCACAAUAUCUUCAACAAGUAGCAUAAACCGUAUAUUUCAUCUUGUUAACCCGCAAUCACGGAAAUUCUUUAGUAUUUCUUACUUGUGUACUAAAGUUAGCGACGGUUCCUCCGUAUAUGUCCUCUAUGGAAUUUAUAUAUUUAAUGUUACCUCUUUUCUUUUCCAAUACCAAAGGACCUUUCUCGGUACUCUAUCAGAUGCUUUCUCCGGGUCAAUGAACACCAAUGUAUAGAUCUUUCUUCACCAAUUUUCUUAGCAAGAAUAUAGCCUCUGUUGCAGAUGUACUGUACAUCAAUCCAGUGUGUGCUCUAUCACUCAUUCCCAGAGUUUCAAUGUGUGACUCAUAAGUUAAAGGUCAUGAUAGUUUGGCGCAAUUUUGUGUAUCUCCUUAUGUUUCUAAAACUGGAAUCAGGGUAUUCUUUCUCUACUAGUAAGGCAUCCUACCACAUCUUAGUAUAGCACAAACAACCUCUAGGAAGAUAUUAAAUACUCCAUCUGUUUAAGAAAUAAUUAAGGACAUCUCUACUAGUUUGACUGGAUAUAGAGUUUAAGAAAUAAAGGACUUGUGAAACUUGUGAUAUAAAAUAAGCCAUGGAUAUUGUUUGGCCAUCAAACACAUCAUUAAGAGUAAAAUGAAACAUUUCAAGGGAAAAUGUUUCUAAUAUAGAACAUGGGCAAGUACACAAAGUUACUCCAAAAUGGUUCAUCACUUUCUAACUUCAUGAAAUAGAUCAGAGGAAAAAGAAAGGACUGCAUACUUUAGUACUGCUUGUAGUAGCAGCAAAUCAUGAUCUUCCUUCCAAACACGUCCACCUUUUAAUCCAGGAAACCAAGACACAAUGUCCAUGGAAAAAAGAGGACUAUUUCUCUCUUCCAAGAAAGCCUUGACCUGAAAUAAGCAACACUUCGUGAAAAUUUCAUAAUUAAUCCACAUUUAGAACUGUAGCUCAAUAUGCUCGUGUCAUUGACGAGGAUUUCAGAGAUCACUUGAAAACUUUAGUAACAGCAAAAACUCUACAUGAAAGCCGUGCAUAAACUGCAUAUAUGACUGUUUUGCUAAUACAAGAAACUAUCAACGUAGGACUAAGAAGUAACAUUGUGUUCCAUCAGGCUAUACAAGGAUACAUUGGAAAGUAACAAUUCAUGGAAAAAAAGUGUCUCCCCUUUUUUUCGAUUGUGCGAACUGAAUUCCCAACUCAAGCAAAAAGAACAACUUGUAGUACUCCCCCAGAAAAAAAAAGGACGUAGCACUUCCUAAUUUCCGAUUUAAGUGUCCUACUUUUCUUUUUAAGUCUAUUUAAAAAGGAAUGCUUCUUCUAUAUUUGGUAACUCUAUAAUUCCAACAUUCUACAUGGCUUGUUUAAGACUACAAAUCCAAAGAGCAUUUUGGUACUUAUUUUUUUUUUUCUUUGAGAAAGGUAACCAUAAAGCAUUUAGUACACUAAACACAUCUUUAGUUUAAGACCAAAAAUUGAAAAGUCUCAUUUUCUUAGAUUCUGUGCACAGUCAAACUAAGAUACUUAAAUUGAAAUGGAGGGAAUAACAACUAGGCAGUCAAGUUUGCCAACCAAUCAACAAUGUCUUCCAACAUCUGAAAAGAGUUUCCCAUCUCCCUAUAAUAGCUUGACAUUAAGAUCCAUUCGUGUCUAUUGGCUUACAGUCAAGAAAUUUGCCUUCUUCCCAGAUGACUAUCGCAUAUUUUCUUCAUGAUAUAUAGGAUGCCUCAUUCAGAUUGGGUAACCUCAUUUACAAAAAAAGUACCUUUAAGCCUCCAAAAAGAUUGAUGUAACAUAUCUUGAGAAAAGUAACUGACUAAAAUGGUGCGAGAAAAUAUGCCCAAGCAUUAUCAUUCUGAAGGAUGUAAAUAAAACACUAAAUUGUCUUUGAAUCUCAGGGCAAAGAGAAACAAAGGUAGAAUAUAAAUUAGAACGGUUCUCAUUCAGGAAUAGUCUUCAUUGGAAGUAAUGAAUAACCCUGAGUCCUGACUCAAAACAACCAUUCAUACUAUGUCGUACAUAUCUCAAUGAAUUGAAGAAAACGAAGUACGAGAUCAUACAUUGACUAUACCUAAGAAUAGAAAUCUUGUGAUAACGAAAGAAAGAAUUGUGAGAAAAACUUAUUCUCAUUAGCUUCUACUAUCAUAGAGAAUUAUGGGAAAAACUUAUUCUCAUUAGCUUCUACAAUCUUAUAUAGUAGCUCCAGAGUUGUGCAUAAAAGAUAAUAAAAGAAUGAAAAAGUACAGUUAAGUCCCUAAGCAAUGUCCCAUUUAUUUAACAAAUGCAAACAGACGUGCAAUAUGGCUCCCUAAUAGUGUCGUUCAUGAGGAUAAACCAUCCUUAUUAUAAAACAAGAAUCCACUAACAAGUGAUGAGUUGAUAUGGAUAUCCAACUUAUAGUAGACCUCUGAUAUGGUUUAGUAAACCUAACAAUCAAAUUAGUUAGCCUUUUAAUUUGAGAUUUUCCGAUUUGUAUUUUUCUGAAAAAUGGAAUAAAAAAUUCAUAUCUAGGGUCAAGCCCUUAAUACAUUUAAACAGAUGCACACAGCAAAAAGAAGCAAUUUAGAAGAAGACUUUAUCUUAAUAUGACAGAAAUCAAUGUCAGUUGAUGUUCCUUUACAUUGUUCAUCAUCUCAUUUACCAAUUUGGAAGUAUCUAUAAAGAGCUACAGUAGAUGCUAUAUAUUUACUUCAAUCCACUUCUGUUUGAACGAAAACAAGGUGAAAAAAACUUGGCCAAAUAACCCUUUUUUCAGAACAGAGAAUUUUUUUCUUCUAGAAAAACUCCAAAAACUUGAUAACUUGAAAAAAAAAUUCUGGCCCCAUCCCAAAUGCCAGUCAGUCAUAUCUCGCUUAAUGAAGUUGUGUCAACCUUAUCAAGUGAUUUUGGUUGGUCAGAAGAGUAGCUUCAGUUCAAACCAAGUAGACAUGUUUUGUAUAAGGUGUUUUAUGUUAGUUCAUGUGAAAAAUAAAAAAGAAAUCUGCCAUUCUACGUCACAGGGAUGGCUAAGAAUCUGAUUUUGAAGUUCUUUUAUAGUAUGUUAAUCUGAGUUAGUGUUCUUUUUGAGGUCCUUCAAGUUUUUAGUUCGAUCUACGUAUUAUUUACUAGUAUACGGGUUGUACCGCACAUCAUUGUUGCAAAAGAUUUGCCUUACCUGUUAAAAAACUUCUCUCAAAUGCAUGCCAUGUCUUACAAAUAAACCCGUAUAUCCACAUUAGGCUAUAUAAUCAUAUCACAGAUCAAAGAAGCACCAGGAUAGUAGGGACAAUUCACAAAGUCAACAACAACGACAACUACACACCCAGUAAAAUCUCACAAGUGAGGCCUGGGGAGGGUAAAGGGGACGCAGACCUUACCAGUACCUCGGGGAGGUAGAGAGGCUGUUUCCGGACGACCCUCGGAUCAAGUGUAGCAAAUCCAAGUACAAAGAAGAGAUAAACAGUGAAGAAAAUAUGAUAACUAACAAGGGAACAGUAUGCAGACACAAAAUAGUGUGAUAAUCAAAACACAAUAAACAACAAAUGAUAGAUAUCUACGGCUAAACCCUAAGCUACCAUACUACGAUGCACGACAAUACUCCUACCCGACUAACCACCAUCCAUAUCCCCGUAGCUAAGGUCAUGUCCUUGGUAACCUGAAUAUGCGUCAUGUUUUGUCUAAUCACCUCACCCCAAUGAUUCUUCGCCUACCUCUACCCCUCUUCAUACCUACUAUAUCCAACCUCUCGCACCUCCUCACUGAGGCGUCUAAACCUCACCUCAUCACAUGUCCAAACCAUCUCAAUCUCGCUUCCCUCAUCUCGUCCACCACGGAGGCCACUCCCACCUUAUCUCGAAUAACCUCAUUCCUGGUUCUAUUACACCUAGUAUGUCCACACACCCAUCACAACAUCCUCAUCUCUGCGACAUGAGCAAGUUAGCAUUUCAGAAAUUUACAAGAAACAAUGGUAAAAUUCAUCUCACCAUCAUCAACAAUGUCAAGAAAAAAUAGUAAAAGUCAUAUUAAGACAUAGCUCAAAAAGUGUGAAAUUUAUUUCAACACAAAAUCAAAUACAUAUAGAGUGACUAAGAAGCUCAACAAGACACCCAGUGUAAUCCCACGGGUGGAGUCUCCGGAAUGUAGAGUGUAUGUAGACCUUAACCUCAUGGAGGUAGUGAGGUUGUUUUCAAAGACCUUCUGCUCAAUUAUUGACUAAGAAGCUCAAGAAAUUAUAAAAUAAAAGGACAGUCCACAAAGCCCCACGGCAAUAAAAGUUGCUCACAACUAAAAUAGCAUUAAAUAGCCACCAACCUCGGAUUCCGGCAAGUUAUCGAAGUUAAAAUCUUACCUUGUCUCUUAUAAGAAGCAAUACUGCAAUCCUCACUAGCACAUCUGGUAUUCUUAAUCCUUCUUUUGGAACCCCAUCUGCAAUCCAGGAUUUUAAAUGUUUUGACCCAAUUGACGCGCAAAGAGAAGGAAGGGAGAGAAACUAAAGCAGUAAAGCGAACAAAUAAGAGUUCCAUAAAGAAAGACAUAAAGAAUUGAUGUAAGUCCUUCACCUGUAAAUGAUGGUGAUUCAGUAAUAUCUUCAGCAAUAUGCGACAAAAACAGAGUUCCAUAGCUGUAUGACAGAUGACAAUGUAAAUAAAUUAUUUUUCCUUGCAGAAAAAUGAAGGUUGGAGUUUUUUUUUUUCUGACUGGUAACUUGUGUGUAUUUCUAAAUGAACAAAACAGUACAUAGGUUGUACUCUCUGAAACCAUAUUUACAAUGUGACUAAGAAACUGAAGUUGUUCAGACCAUCUCAACGUAAUCUAGCACAUCGAGAAUUUCUACAGUUUCUCCUAAGUAGGACUGUCUACACCAAAAAGUAAAAGAGCAAAAAUACAGUUCAGGUUGAUAUAUUGCACAGAAUUGUUCAAAUUCUCAAAACAUCUGGAAUUUCUUCCUUUCCAGAUUGUAUACCAAAUGUUAGCUAGGACAGUUCUCCAUCUUUCUAUAUCCUUUGCCCCAAUUCAUCCCAACUCACUAAGGUUUCAGAAAUGUUAUCUGGCAUUAUCCAAGUGAUGCCUCUAACAUUAAUGAGAUUAAUAAAAAUCCUCCACAAUUGUCUGUUAGCUUGCAAUGGAGAGAGAUGGAUUACUGUCUCUGCUCUCACCACAUAAAUAACAUAUGGAACAAGAGAGAUCCCCUUUUUCAUCAAGUUUCCUGGAUAAAAGCCAGACAAAGCAAUCUACUUGAAUUAUUUUGUUAGUUUAAACACAAUGUUUUGAUUGUUACUUAAAUUUUGUUGUAUCGUAUCGUUAAAUUCAUCAUUAUGUAACAGUGAAAAGUCUCAUUUUCUGUUAACCGAUUUGGUGUGGUCACGGCACUACCUUUUUUCUUCUCACUUUGUUUUUUCUUACAACAGCAACAACAUACCCAGUGUAACCCCACAAGUGGAGUGUGGAGAGGGUAGAGCGCACGCAGACCUUAUCUCUACCUCGUAGAGACCAAGAGGUUGUUUCAAAUAGACCUUCAGCUCAUUUUGUCUUUCUUAUUAUCUAAUAAUCCUAUUUUAUCCUUUGUCUUACCUUUUUAUAAUAGCUUUACCCUGUAUCCUACUUAUUUUGUAAGUUUAUUCUUCAAAUUGUCGGUUUGUGACACUAUGUAACGAUGGAAAACGAUACAAUCUAUCCACACUGUAGUCAUCAAAACAAUACAAUACAACACAACACAAUACAAUAUAAUAUGACAUUAUGAACCAAUAUAUCACAACUAUCCGAACAAGUUGUUACCGCUCACAACACCACGUUAUUCAGUAGGCAGGGACAAUGCAAGAGAGAGACGAGGAAGAUCAAUGAAGAACCACUUUAAACAACACCAAGAGAUCUCCUCUUUCAUUUUAUAAAAAAACUACAAUCAGGGUUACAAGGCAUGUGAUGCAUCCGAUCAUAAUAUGCCACCAAAACUUAAAGGCACAUCCAAUAGAGUGGUGGCUAGAUCGACUACGUUGUAUUGGGCAGAGUGUAGGCCAGUUAACAACUCUCACAUUCAGAAGAUGAGAGUUGUGGAAAUGAGGAUGAUGUGGUGGAUGUAUGGCUAAGAAAGAGAAGAUUAGGAAUGAAGAUAUCUUGGGAAAAAUGAGGUCGUCGUCGUGGACAAGAUGAGGAAAGCGAGACUGCGAUGAUUUGGACAUGUGAAAAGGGGAUGCAUGGAUACCCCAAUAAGGAAGUGUGAGGUUGGCAGUGGCAGGUUUUAGGAGGUAAAGGUCCGCCAAAAAAGUAUUGCGGUGAGGUGAUCAGAGACGACAUGGCUCACCUUCAGCUUACCAAGGACGUGACCAUAGUAGGUAAUGGAGGUCGAAGAUUAGGCAAAAAGGUUAGUUGGUAGUCGAGUGUUGUUUCCUUGCAUUCCAGUAGCAUUAGUUUUGAUCUCGUAGUUUCUUACCCUUCGAUUUCUGUUAAUACUACUUGCUCUUUGCUUCAGUUAUCACAUUAUUUUGUUGUUGUAACUGUUCUUUUUUAUCACUGUUCCAUAAUGAUUUCGUUAUUAUUUGCAAUGUCUGCUUAGCGUUUGUAUGUUAUUUUAAAAAAUUGCUUUGUUAUGAGUUACUUGAGCAGAGGGUCUUUUUGAAACAGUCUCUCUACCUCCAUGAGAUAGAGGUAAGGUCUGCAUACACCCUAGCCUCCCCAGACCCCACCUGGUGGGAUUACGGUGGGAUUACACUACACUGGGUAUGUUGUUGUUGUGCUAUAAGGCAUGUGAUGCAUUCUUCACUAAAGAAUCCCUUUACCAGAGAUAUAGCUUCAAUAUAGCUAACACAUUAAUGACGGUCUAUCUCUUUUAUCAGGAGUAGUCCAUGAUAGAGAGUUGAGGAAUAUACAGAACUCAAAGUUGAUAUCUUUACGUACUCUCUUAUUUCUUCAUAAGUUUUCUGCUUCAGUCGUGGUGUGAAUUCUGCCCAGUCAUAGUCUCCAACUCCAAACCUGUAAAGAAAUCAAGAGAGAUUGUUUCAAUACUCUCAAGCUUUAGUGCACAACGGAGAAAUAAAACAGAAAAAAAAAACAGAGAGAAAUAACAACGCCUAGAAAGGAAGAUAGCCACAUGAGACCUCAUUAAAAUUUUGACAAAUGCUGCCCUCUGGCUUUGAUUAAAUCCCAGCACUCUAAAUGAUUUUCCUUCUCCUUCCAUCAAAGGAAGUGGUACAGAAGAGUCUCCUGCCAGAGUAAAGAACUUUUCCUUAGACACUAUCAAGUAUCCUAAUUGAUAUAUUUUUAACAAGUCUAAUUGAAAUGUGAAAUGAGAUCAAGAGUUCAUAUUUCACCACGGGCUCUCUUUCUGUAAGGCCUUCUCACAACUGGCGCUCCAGGUAAAGCUGUCUCGCCAUCACUAUCAGCUUCAUAGUUAUCAUCCUCGCCAUCAGAGGUCACCUCUUCCAGACCAGCAAGAUCAUCGUCUUCAACAGACACCAUCUGAGAGGAGAAUGAAGAUAGUCAUGACAACAGGAAGAUAACUACUUGUGAGAGUUGACCACAUAAAGUAAAUACUAAGCAUAUACUCCCUCCAUCCCAAUCCCAAUUUAUGUUUCACCUUUCAGAUUUUCAAAAGUUAAACAAGUUUUUCUUUUAUCGCCAUUUGUUCAUAUGCCUUUUAAAUAUGUUGAAUUGCUAAUGAUUGUGACUUAUAUUACUUCUGAUAUAGUUUCCAAAUAUGUAAAUUUUAUUUUUGAAAAAAAAACAUAAAAAGAUUCAAUAUCCGAAUUCACGGACAAAAUUAAGGAAUUUGACUCUUGAAAUCCAAAUUGUGUCGCAUAAAUUGGGGCAGUGGGAGUAAGUACAGAUGGCAAAUUGAGAUAAAGACUAGAUUAACAUGUACAAAAACUCUCGAGCUGAAUGCCCUGCCAAUUCAUUCAACAGAAGAAAAAUUGAAUAAAUUAAAUAUAGGCCCACGUAAAUGGCAUGCCACACCUGUUGUAACAAUUCUUCCCAGUAGGUUGCUCUCUCGGAAUUGAGUACUGUUGCUUUGUUCUCCAACGGAGGAGUUGAGAUAUCUUCUUCUGGUGUUGCUUCUGCUUCUUCAAUAUACUCGAAAUUAGCUACCUGAAACAAUCAGAAGCGUUCAGCUUGUCCUAGAUCAGAAAACCAAACACAAAGCUCAAAUGCACCCAAAGCAAAGCUAAAAUGUGAAAAAACUCUAGGAGGACGAUACUUUCACAACUAAACCAAUAUAUUAUCAUACAAGUUUUCUUCACAUAUGCCCUUUUCUUCAUUGGGAAAAAAAAAACUUGCAAACAACUACUAGAUAAGGCCUGCAGAAUAAAUGCAUGUUUCACCUAAAAGGCUAUGCAGAAUAUGAUUUCCUUAUUUUUGCUGGAAAGCCUUAAGAAGACAAGUCAACGCAUUAUUUGCUUAGGAGGUAAUUAAUCAAUCAGACAGAGUAAUGGCAAGAAUCAAGCAUAUCAAGAUAACCGGCAAUACCUUUACACCUGAGACCAUUACCAGUAUGAAGCUCUGGAUUCUAAGUACAGAAAUAUCAAGCUCACAUUGUCCUGGUGUUAUCGUUAAGUCAUUUUUUUAUGGUCAGUCAUAUGUUUAUUACAGGAGAAAUAAAAGUAAACAAAAUAGUAGUCAAGGUGCAAACAAGUUACAGUUACGUGGUAACAUGGUUGCUGACAAAAUUCCACCUCAUCCCCUCCUAUUGUAUUCAUAAAGCUCCUCUGUUAUUAGCAUUAGCUAUCUUGCCGCGAAUUCUUGUAUACCAUCUCUUCCUCCAACCCUCAUCAUUAAAUUAGCCUUUUACAAUUUCCUUUUUUAUGAAGUGAAAGAAAUUUCAUGAAAGUAAUAUUUUGAAAAUUAGUCGUAUUAUAAAAUUAGCAUCUCGCUGCAAAUUCUUGUAUACCAUCUCUUCCUACAACCCUCAUCACUAAAUUAGGCUUUUACAAUUACCUUUUUUAUGAAAAGAAAUUCCAUGAAAGUACUAUUUUGAAAAUUAGUCCUAUUAAUAUAAGAACCCAUUGAUUUAUUAACAAGGUGACAUGUUUAUAACAAGUUGUAGUACAUAAAAGGAUAUGAUAUUUCUUGUACGCAGUUUUAAAUUGAAUAAAGACCCCACAAAUGCAAGUACAAGAAUUAAGUACAUUAACUUAAGACAUGAGGAGCAAUCACAUGACAGUGGAAGCGUCUUCCACAUCAAACAGUACCUCUCAAGUUUUAUGGGAAUUUUAUUUAACCUUUAAUUAGUAUACCACUUCAGAGGAAUCAAAUAUAUGUAUUCUGCUCCUCCAUUUUUAUGCCAUGUGCAAAUUUAGCUUAAUAUUUUAACAGAUUCCAGUUAAGCACUGAGAAAGUGUAAGCCCAUGCAUAUUUCAAAACCUCAUUAUGGUUAAUCUUGAGCUUAUUGAUGUCUUUAAGUGAUCCUAAAUGUGUCGACAGGGGUAGAAGUAGGUGAGGUGCUUAAGACAUGAAUCUAGAAGUUUGACAUGAAUUGGAAGCACGGCGAAUUGGUGUUGGACUUAAAAGUGUUGAAAUGUUGUUAAGAAACGCAUAACUAAUUGUCCGGGGUGCCCAGCAGUACUCCCACAUUGCGAGGAGACCAGCACCACUCCCCAGGGGUUCUGCGAGAAAGCCCUGCGCCCCGAGAAGUCCAAAUUUGCCUGACUGAUGACAUACAUGAUGGGCUUGCACUGCGUGGGCGCCGUGCGGCCUCCGGCACUAUAAAUAGCUCUCUCUGCCCCUACCGAAGGUAUGGGGGAACAAAGUAUGUCCUAAGGAAUGGAAGUUUAUAGCGAUUAUCCCCAACUCCUUACUAGAUAGAUGUUGGGUGAACUGGAAAGAUAGGUAACACAAUCCAUUGGCACUGCAAAAUCACCUUCCAAUUAUAAACAAAUUACACAAGAGAUAUAAACCUUGAAGGCCUUCAAAAAUGAAUCCUCUUCUUCAUCGUCCACGACAGCAUCCUCAUCUACAACUUGGUCGCGAUUGAGCAAUCUGAUAAAGAAAAUAACAAAACGAUCAUUACAUUCAUUUGACAUAAACUGAUACCAACCCUUAAGAAAACUAAAGAAAGGGAGAAGAAAGUGAACCUGACAUAUAGAAAACUCACCUAUCUAUUGCAGCAUCAUCGUAAUGAAUUUGUCGCAAUUUUCCGGCCUCAUCAUUCUCAUCAGCAAAUAGCUCUUUCGACCCAUACCUUAUAAUAUCAUCCAGUUCUUCCUGAAUUAAGACCGUAAUUAGCCACCUUUUUACAGUACAACAGCCAAUAAUGAUGACCGUCCACAGAAUGCUUUCAGAGCUGAUCAAUUGUAUGACCAAAAUCUUUUCUUUUUCCUUUUUAUUUUGUUGGGGUACACUUGUCGCUUCAAUCAUUAUGACUAGGUGUAGGGUCAUGCCUCGGAAUAUUAAAGAAGCAUAUGAGGGUUGGACUUUGUGGAAAGUUGAUAAAAACAUCAAGAAAUUUGGAAAACGAUCCUGCAAGUACUUUUUGGUGCGUAUGGACAAAAAGAAUUCACAGAUGUUCUGAUGAAAUCUCAACCCCAAACCACUCCUUGAAGAUUAGAUGUCUACUGAAUCUAUUUGGUUGGAUUAACCUACUCCCUGUAAAUACUGUUGAUCUUUAUUUGGACUUUGUUAGCUCAAACUUCAGCUUAGUCUCAAGAAUUAUUGUUAAUCCCCCCUACUUUUUGACUUUAUUAGCUCCCUUAGCAUAGAUCAUGUACUGGAGCCAGCAUACUCUCUUGUGCUUAUUGCAUCUUCUUGAUGUCAGUAAUGAAACAUCUUACUUUAUCAAAAAUAUAACUGUGACUAAAUGUUGAGAUCAGCCAUAGGAUCCGGAAGCACAUCAACUGAGGGAAGUUAUACUUUUUUAUACAGUUCUAAUGACUAAAGUUCACUCGACUACUAUGGGAAGUCGAAGACUUACUACAUCUAUGAUGAAGUGGGUCCAGAAGCAGAAGUAAAAAAAAUAGAACCCAAGUUACCUAUUUGUAAUUACAGUAUUUGAAAGAAAAUUGCAAGUGACGGAACAAAAGCAUUUUUUCUAGGACGCCAGACACUGUUUUGGGACAACCCAGAUUUACGUGGGGCAGAGGGGAUAAAUAAAUAAUUAAAAGAGAUUGUAGAUUAACAGUAGACAAAAUUGUGACUAGGUGAUUUUUCCACAUCUCCCUUCUAAGUCUUGGUGUAGAGUUAGCCAGUACCUGCGUUGGUGGGAGGUAGAAGGUAUAGGUUACUCGGUUUUAUAGUCGAGGUGGGGGCACCACCGUAAUUAAAAAAACCGUGUAUACAAAAUUGUAGUGCGUCUUCAACGACUUGUAUACACUAACGCAACAAUAAUUUAAUUGUCUAAUCUAUAACAGUUCAUUAUCUAUUGGAUGCCAGCAUAAUCAGUCAGAACAAUGGUGUUGCCUUGUGCCUACCAACUGAUGCAAGACAGCACCGUAUAGUACAAAAAGAUCUUAAAGAAUCGCAGUAGUUAAGUUCGAAAGGUGCCGAUUAUUAAAGACUAAUAUAAGUCAACAGAAGUGUUCUCUAUUAAGCAACUUACACUUGUAUUCCAGACAACUCACACAAUACAACAUGUUUUAAGAGCAUACACAAGCCCUAAGUUUGAGUCGCACCACUACUUAAAAUAAAAAGUAUAUCUUCUAAUUUUAGACAAGGAAAUAACCGGAAUUCAACAUAGUAUGAGAGCAAGAACCCAUCUCAAAACAUUUUUGUAUGCAUCUACACAUUUAAAAAAGUAAACUCAAAAGUUAUGGGUAUCUAACAAUUGACUUAAGGAAAAUGACCUUAGAAUUAGGAUAUCUCUAGCCAUUAGCUUUUUUUACCUGUUUAAAAUCUAGUAGCUCACUUCCCCUUAACUUAGCAUCAUGCUUUAGGACUGUAGAGGUCUGAUUCCGGCACCGAUCACCGUCAUUAUACCUUUUUUUUCUCAACCAAUCAAUAGUCACCCACUGUGACUAUUGAUUCAGCCCCUUUCUUCUAGUUACUUAUCGACACAAUUCAAUGGCAGAAAACAGAAUCUAUUUCAAUGCAGGCUUCAAAUCUUUUGACAUUACAAGAUGGAACUAUGGCAACUCAACAUGGUUUGAUUGGGUAGAAAGAAGUAGAAACAGAAUGCAUAGGAUAACUCUGAGCAGAAAGACUCAGGAAUGGAUCUGCUACAUACUCAAAGAAGCUUCGAAGGACAAAAGAACAAGUGGCUGAAUAUUAUGGCACCAGAAAAUAUAAUACACACGACAGGUACAUGAGCUUUCUGUCUUUGAAUGGGGAGGAUAGAGAAGUUAUUAUUGUCCCCGAACUAGCCAUAAAUGCAGGGUGGAAGGACAUAGCAUUAAAGAUUGAAAGAUUCAUAAAUGCUAAUCACCAAAGUACCAGUAAACAGCCUUCAAAAUAGACUAUUCCAUAGGCCAGGAUGGUUCAGAGCAGUAAAUGGCAACAAGGUCGUAAUGAAGGCUGACAAUUCGAGAUAUUUUGGAUAUUUUGGAGGUGUGGAGAUACCCACCCUAGCAGAUGUAAGAAGAUGGGCAUCUUUGACUUGGAAGGAAGCUUUUGGAGUCAACAUUUAUGAAAUGGCAGGGCACAAUUUUCUCUUUGAGUUACCAAAUAAGCACAUAGCUGAACAAAUACUACAAGGAGAUUGGGUCUGGAGAAAGUCAAAAAUUCAUCUAGAAUGAUGGAACCCGCUCUUUGGUUGUGUAUCAUACAAGCAAAAUCAAGAAACAACAUGGACUAGAGCCACCGGACUGCCAAUGCAUUUGUGGUCCAAAGAAAUCUUUCAAGAAAUAGGAGAUAAAUUUGGAGGGAGGUGUAGAACAGAGGAAGAAACUAAGCUGAGGAACCAUCUUAAAUGGGCGCGUAUCGAGGUCAAGGGAGAUGGCCGAAAAAUUCCCAAUGAGAUCUCCAUUACUAAAGAGGGUUACAUCUUCAAAAUCCCGAUUUGGAUAGAAAAAGCUACAACUUUUGAGAGGUUGCCGGUAGCAGCAGCAAAACCUAUGGCGGAAGAAUUGGUGACAGGAGAAACCCUAAAGGGUUUUAUCCAGAGGUCCUUGCUUCGCGGAGAAAAGACGAAGGACAAUGACCUUGCUUCGCGGAGAAAAGACGAAGGACAAUGACCUGCAGAUAAAACCUUCUUUCGAAGUUAUCACAAAAAUAGCAUCCUUGACAGCUGUUGACUGGAGUACACAUGUGGGCUGUAAUUUUAAGUUACACCCAUGUGAGGAACAUGUGACAAUUUUAAGUCAAGAAAAGGAGACCCCAAAUAUAUCCAAAAGCGGGCCGGCCCAACAAAAGCAAGUGCUACAACAAAAGAAAAGUCCCCAAGCCCAACCCAACACAGGUGUAUUCAUUGAUGAACUGUGGGAAGAAAUUAAGAGGCUAAGAAAAGCAGUCCCACAAGUCGAUAGAGCAGAAAACACAGAAGAGCUUCAGAUUUCCAUUAAAAACCCAGGUGCAGGUGUCAAGACAGAAAACAAAACAGGUUUUUAGGAAGGAUCAAUUGAGACAGUGGGGGAAAUAAUAGGGAGAAAGGAAAAGGCACCUGAAAAUUACAUGGAGCAACAAACCAUGUUGGGUAAUUCAUGCACGGGAGGAGAGUUAUGGAACGUGGAAGAAGCAACACCAAUAGCGACAGCAGCAUCAACAGAUAUCAUCGAAAUGGGGAGAUCCACAUCAGCAUGGGUUCGGCAGAACAUAAUCAAGCUAGGGAAAAUGUUUAAAGCUGAUUUCAAAGGUCAUGAAGAGGAAGCCCUUGAGUUACUUAUGCAAGUAGAUGCCUGCAGACAAGCUAGGAGGUUGGAGACAUCCUCAGAGAUCAGGAAAAACAGGUUUAAGGGUGCCAAUGAGCUGAAGAAUUUAAUCACUUUUGAUGUUAAAUUCAAAAGUAAAGAAGGCAGAAACAAGGGGAAAGGGUGUUCACAAUCUGACCCAUGAAGCUAAACCUGGUGUCAUGGAAUGUUAGGGGAUUAAAUGAUGGGAAAAAAAAGAAUGGUGAAGAGCUGUAUUGAGCAAUGGAGGCUGAUAUAGUGUGUUUUCAAGAAACAAAGUUACAAGGGAACUUGCAAGAGAUAGUGAAACAAUUAUGGGGAAGGAGAUGGGUUAAUUUCGCGCGUUUAGAAGCUAGUGGUAUUAGGGGUGGUAUC
Molecule: long non-coding RNA, 19319 nt
Filed under: Capsicum annuum
Lineage: Eukaryota; Viridiplantae; Streptophyta; Magnoliopsida; Solanales; Solanaceae
Description: long non-coding RNA (CANN_LNC009494)
Source: RNAcentral